This 374-nucleotide unclassified non-coding RNA is filed under the name fungal sp. Its description in RNAcentral is "partial internal transcribed spacer region". The stretch from base 1 to 46 matches the Rfam family "Eukaryotic small subunit ribosomal RNA", at positions 1786 to 1831 of the family's 1831-position model. Lineage: Eukaryota; Fungi. The record is from RNAcentral.
AAGUCGUAACAAGGUUUCCGUAGGUGAACCUGCGGAAGGAUCAUUUCCUGUUUUUCGUUUUUUUUAGCAAAACGUAAACACGCAUUGUGACUUCUAAACUGUAUCGUCUCCAGUAGAGGGACGUGCGGACGCUUGCGCGACGGCUCUGCCGUCGGAAGUUCGCUCUCUGAAACGGUCCUACGUUGGACGUCCUUAUUUCGCCUCAGGGCGUAAUCGUGUGGACGUCGCGACGAUACGCGUCGGACCGGAGAGCGAGCGGCGCGCGUUUCGCACGUUUCUUUCCAUUUUUUUUAAACAAAAUGCAUGAAAAACCGUAUAACUCAGGGUAACACCGAUAAAUGAUUACCCUGAUCGGUGGAUCACUAGGCUCGUGG